CACGCCGUAAACGAUGAGUGCUAGGUGUCGGGGGUCAAACCUCGGUGCCGCAGCUAACGCAUUAAGCACUCCGCCUGGGGAGUACGUUCGCAAGAAUGAAACUCAAAGGAAUUGACGGGGACCCGCACAAGCAGCGGAGCAUGUGGUUUAAUUCGAAGCAACGCGAAGAACCUUACCAGGGCUUGACAUCCCUCGGACCGACUUAGAGAUAAGUCCUUCCCUUCGGGGACUGAGGUGACAGGUGG
Molecule: ribosomal RNA, 245 nt
Filed under: uncultured Alkaliphilus sp.
Lineage: Bacteria; Bacillati; Bacillota; Clostridia; Peptostreptococcales; Natronincolaceae
Description: partial 16S ribosomal RNA
Rfam family: Bacterial small subunit ribosomal RNA
Source: RNAcentral